UUACAAAACUCCGGAAAUACACUCUUGGAACCAGAGGUGACAAUUCACUGAAUGAGGAUUACCCCAACCAGCCACAGCGGGAAAUCCUUGGAGAAGGUGUGCGCUGAUUGGAUCAGAGACCCGAAGGGAAAGAAUCCCAGCUUGAAGAACCAGUUUGAAUGUCAAGACUCCAAGAAUCACUGCAAGAAAAACAGCCUUGUGGUGAAGAUUCUAGGAUUUAGGAUCAUUUCCAGAUGAGAAUCCACAAAUGACUCACACAGUCUUUCUGAGGUUGUUAAACAGAUUGCUUCCAUCAGUAUUGAGUCAGGAAUUGAG
RNAcentral lists this long non-coding RNA (315 nucleotides) under Homo sapiens (human). Its description in RNAcentral is "non-protein coding lnc-SLC2A3-3:1". Lineage: Eukaryota; Metazoa; Chordata; Mammalia; Primates; Hominidae. The record is from RNAcentral.